ACUCAACGCCAAUUCUUUAAAAUGGGUGAAUCGUCGCUACUAUAGCAUGCUGCCUUGAGCAGAUCCUAGAACAGCUUGUUAGCCCAAAACUUGUCAAUACGAGUUU
Molecule: small RNA, 106 nt
Filed under: Flavobacterium suzhouense
Lineage: Bacteria; Pseudomonadati; Bacteroidota; Flavobacteriia; Flavobacteriales; Flavobacteriaceae
Also listed under: 1 other name
Description: 6S RNA
Rfam family: 6S-Flavo RNA
Source: RNAcentral